AUUAUCUUUAUUCAAGUUUCUCCUGAUACAGGACCGCAUCAAUUUGUUGCUUCUCUCCACAUAUUGUAUUUCUUUUAUCCUCAUUGUGGUGCUGAGAAUUUUGAAAUAUUGAUUUUGAAGAAUAGUUGCGCCUGUUUGAAUAAUAGAAAAGGGAAAGAAUUGCACUUUCUGGGGCAUAGUUAUUGAGAAAACACACAGUAACUGUCAGCUUAUGUGCUCAAUCUUUAAUUGUUGUGGUGCUGAGUUUCUUUCAUUUGCAGAGAGUGAGCAUACUCAAUGGUACUUGUAGUUCUUUGGCUUAUUUUUUCUCUAGCUUCAUAAUUAUUACUUAAUGCAUCAUGUCUUUUGGGAAGACAACGUGCUUUUCCCACAAAGUUCUUGUUCAGUUCCUUGUGCAGGGUAUGAAAUCUCUUGUUUUAACCUGGCCUGUGUUCAUGCUCGCUCUCUCUCUCUCUCUCUCUCUCUCUCUCUCUCUCUCUCACACACACACACACACACAUUUUUUCAGUUUUGUUGGCUCCAUGAAGGGGGGUGGACUAGGUUUAAAGUUGUGCGAGGAUGCCAAAUUGGCAAAGGGGGAGCAUAUGAACACUAUCUUAUGAAAAUUGGUACUUAAGAGCAAAAUAUUGUCCCUGGUAUGAGACAGAAUGCAGAAAUUAUGGGUGGCGUACAGUCAUUUGGUGCACCUGCAGUAAGUGUGAAGCCUAGUUGCAUGGGAUACCAGAAAGUGUUGCACUUGUUCUAUGAUAUCAAUUUUUUUAGGAUAGUUAUUGUGGAUGAGUGGUACUGGAAUGCUUAAUGCUUUGUUUGGUUUGUGAUUUGAGUAGUGUUUUUGGAUAAUGAGUGGAGAGAGAAAUGAUUGGAGAGAAAGGUAAAGAGUGGAGAGAGAAAAUGAGAGUAAUGAUUGAAAAGUUAGAGAGAGAAAUGAGAGUAAUGAUUGAAUUGAGAAAUAUUUUUUGAGUCGAGUCGUGAAAUGAACAAGGCAUUAAUAAUGGGAGACAUCCCGUGUAGUACAUCUUGAAGUUAAUUUUGAUGUAUUACUUGAAUUGAAGUGAUUUGAGUUUGAUACCACACUUGAUUGAAGCUUUUAGAGUUUAGAGUUUGCGAAGUCAAAAUUUUUCUUUUACUAUGGUCGCAAAGCAAUUUUGUGUGACCAAGGGGACAUUUUUAGAUGCCCUUCUUAUUAUAUGCACUUCAUUUUUGUUGUUUUAUGGCCUUUUAGAAUCAAUAAGGAAAUUGGAAAUUGAUAGCCUAACGCUAGGGCUGCGGAAUGUUGCACCUUAGGGAAGGAACAAGAAGAGGAUGCCCACGAGUAAGCCACAAAAGAAUUAUAUGUUCUACUAACCCUGAAUCACAUCUUGAUUGUCUUAAAAAUUCCUAGGAUG
Molecule: long non-coding RNA, 1385 nt
Organism: Rhododendron vialii
Lineage: Eukaryota; Viridiplantae; Streptophyta; Magnoliopsida; Ericales; Ericaceae
Exons: 2
Source: RefSeq, a predicted model, not a curated record